UACGUAGGGUGCAAGCGUUACUCGGAAUCAUUGGGCGUAAAGCGCAUGUAGGUGGCUAUGUAAGUCUGAUGUGAAAGCCCUGGACUCAAUCCAGGAAGUGCAUUGGAUACUGCAUGGCUAGAGUACAGGAGAGGUGGAUGGAAUUCCUGGUGUAGAGGUGAAAUUCGUAGAUAUCAGGAGGAACAACAGAGGCGAAGGCGAUUCACUGGACUGUCACUGACACUCAGAUGCGAAAGUGUGGGGAGCAAACAGG
RNAcentral lists this ribosomal RNA (253 nucleotides) under uncultured prokaryote. RNAcentral's name for it is "partial 16S ribosomal RNA". It matches the Rfam family "Bacterial small subunit ribosomal RNA", at positions 524 to 776 of the family's 1533-position model. The record is from RNAcentral.